RNAcentral lists this ribosomal RNA (253 nucleotides) under uncultured bacterium. RNAcentral's name for it is "partial 16S ribosomal RNA". It matches the Rfam family "Bacterial small subunit ribosomal RNA", at positions 524 to 776 of the family's 1533-position model. The record is from RNAcentral.
UACGGGGGGGGCAAGCGUUGUUCGGAAUUACUGGGCGUAAAGCGUGCGCAGGCGGUGAUGUAAGACAGUUGUGAAAUCCCCGGGCUCAACCUGGGAACUGCAUCUGUGACUGCAUCGCUGGAGUGCGGCAGAGGGGGAUGGAAUUCCGCGUGUAGCAGUGAAAUGCGUAGAUAUGCGGAGGAACACCGAUGGCGAAGGCAAUCCCCUGGGCCUGCACUGACGCUCAUGCACGAAAGCGUGGGGAGCAAACAGG